AAUCCACUCGCCUAACGAGUGGGCGUCCGGCGGAAACUACAGGGCUUGGGACCGAAAGACUUGAGGGGUACGUCUGGGGUAGGAGUGAAAUCCUGUAAUCCUGGGCGGACCGCCGAUAGCGAAAGCACCUCAAGACGACGGAUCCGACAGUGAGGGACGAAAGCUAGGGUCUCGAACCGGAUUAGAUACCCGGGUAGUCC
Molecule: ribosomal RNA, 200 nt
Filed under: uncultured archaeon
Lineage: Archaea
Description: partial 16S ribosomal RNA
Rfam family: Archaeal small subunit ribosomal RNA
Source: RNAcentral